RNAcentral lists this long non-coding RNA (1018 nucleotides) under Olea europaea (common olive). Its description in RNAcentral is "long non-coding RNA (OEUR_LNC007798)". Lineage: Eukaryota; Viridiplantae; Streptophyta; Magnoliopsida; Lamiales; Oleaceae. The record is from RNAcentral.
ACCAUACCUAGCAUUUGGUAAUUAAUGUGUCUUUCAGUUGGUUUAAGAACACACUCUAUCAACAUAACCCAUCCAUGUUUUAAUUUAUCUUCUCAAUCUUCACAUGAAUUGAAGGUAUCAAUGAGCAUUCUCAUAGAAAUCAUUUUCACACCAUUGAAAUACUGAUUUCUAAGCCGAGGAUUACUAGGGUCAAAAUUAACAGAUACUUCGUGGUAAGGUAAUCCAGAGAUUAAGCAAAUUCUUGCAUUUGAAAACGGGCAAGAUGGUCAUCAAACCUUACACACACUUCAUUGUUUUUACUAGAAUUCACAAUCCUUAUUUACUUUUCGUCUUUGUACAUGAAUCCAUAUAUAAAUCCAUGAAAAUUACUGCAAAUUAAUGAUGAUUGUUCAUCUGCUUGUAACAAUUCUAUCAAAUCUCUAACUUAUUGAUGAUUUGGAUAAUGACUAACAGUAGCACAGAACCAUUGGUCUGGAGACAAGACAUAAUCUAGAGACAUUUGCAUGAAACAACAAAAUUUAUUUACAAAUUAAUUUUUGGAGAAAAUGUAAUUACAAAUAAAAAUUAAAACAUACCUUGCACAAAUAUUUUCCACUUUAUCCACUAAACAAAAAUUUAGUACUAUAAAACAAUGUACUCAGAGCAUGUAUAGUUCUAGAUAAUCAUAUCACAUAAGACAUAUAAAUUUCUACUAUGGGAAAUUUAAAGAAUCAAAAGCCAACAAUAUGUCAAGGUUUAUUCAAUGCACCAAGCAGACAAAUAUACUUAACAAACUCACAACAUUGAUUUUUUAAAAUAAAAGAAGGCAGUAUCACAGUAUAUUCUUGAACUCAAUCAAAAUUAAGCAGUAGACCAUAUUCCAAUUAUAUGUAUCCAUGGAGUAUAUCUUUACCCUCAUUUUUGUUUCUGAAAUCAUGUCUCUUUUUCUCUAUAUAGAGUAAAACACACACAAAAAUCGGUAAAAAAAUAAUAUUUAACUUUUCAAAUACAUCAAAGAGUAAACGAGAAGUACUUUUCA